Molecule: ribosomal RNA, 133 nt
Filed under: uncultured bacterium
Lineage: Bacteria
Description: partial 16S ribosomal RNA
Source: RNAcentral
GCACGUAGUUAGCCGUGGCUUCCUCCUCGAGUACCGUCAUUAUCGUCCUCGAAGACAGGGCUUUACAAUCCGAAGACCUUCAUCACCCACGCGGCGUUGCUGCGUCAGACUUUCGUCCAUUGCGCAAUAUUCC